This is a non-coding RNA of Peptococcaceae bacterium BRH_c23, 230 nucleotides long. NCBI's taxonomy places the organism in Bacteria, Bacillati, Bacillota, Clostridia, Eubacteriales, Peptococcaceae. The record is from Rfam.
GGAUUCCCACUGAGUAAGAUUUAGCAAAUCACUCAUAGCGAGUCUUGGACAUUACCGGGUAACUUGUAAUGUUAAGCGUAGACAGCAAGGUAGUAGGCCGAAAGCGUAAGCUGAAGGGAUUGAGCCUCGAUAUCCCAAAUCGGGAAGGUUGAUACUUUUACCAGGGUAGAAAACAACACUAAUAUAGUCGUUAUGCGAGAAUAUAUUAGCUUCCCCGGGGUCGGUGACCU